Molecule: transfer RNA, 90 nt
Filed under: Baia soyae
Lineage: Bacteria; Bacillati; Bacillota; Bacilli; Caryophanales; Thermoactinomycetaceae
Also listed under: 1 other name
Rfam family: tRNA
About the family: Transfer RNA (tRNA) molecules are approximately 80 nucleotides in length.
Source: Rfam by way of RNAcentral
GGGGAGAUACUCAAGAGGCCGAAGAGGAAGCAUUGCUAAUGCUUUAGGACGUAAUUACGCGUCGCGAGGGUUCGAAUCCCUCUCUCUCCG